AGGAACCCAUCUCAACUGCAAUAUCUGUGAAACAUCAUCCUACCCCCAGUAAAAACAGAGGCUUGGACGGUGCUGCUGGAUUGGAGGCCAGAAGCUGCUAUCCAGAGCCAAAAGCAGCCAUGAAAAGAAGUAGUCUGGACAGAAGACAAUUCAAUGGAGAAAGAACAGCCUUUUCAACAAGUGGUGUUGGAACAACUGUAUAUCCCCAUGUAAAGGAAUG
Molecule: long non-coding RNA, 220 nt
Organism: Neogale vison (American mink)
Lineage: Eukaryota; Metazoa; Chordata; Mammalia; Carnivora; Mustelidae
Exons: 3
Source: RefSeq, a predicted model, not a curated record